RNAcentral lists this long non-coding RNA (234 nucleotides) under Lathyrus oleraceus (garden pea). RNAcentral's name for it is "Pisum sativum (pea) long non-coding RNA (PSAT_LNC016660)". Lineage: Eukaryota; Viridiplantae; Streptophyta; Magnoliopsida; Fabales; Fabaceae. The record is from RNAcentral.
CUUAUUCAUCUUAUAGUCUCAAUUACAACUCUUUUUACUAAACAAAAUCAAAAUCAAUAUUUUAUAAUACUACUUAAAAAUCUCAUUUUAUUCCCACGCAUCGCGCAUGUCUCAACCUAGUAUUAUAUAAAAAUUGUUACAACAUAAAGACUACCAUUAAUCAUCCUAAGGCCCAAAUGAUCCACACUCUCCAAAUCAAAUAUUUAACUUCCCUCAAAACACUCUAACACAAGA